UGGGCAGCGGAGCCCCGAAGGAACCAAUUGGAAGCCCGCGCGCCUGCUUCGGGAGCAGGAGGUCGCUGGUUCAAAUCCAGUCGCCCAG
Molecule: transfer RNA, 88 nt
Filed under: Gemmatimonadaceae bacterium
Lineage: Bacteria; Pseudomonadati; Gemmatimonadota; Gemmatimonadia; Gemmatimonadales; Gemmatimonadaceae
Description: tRNA-Pro
Source: RNAcentral